GAUCCUGGCUCAGGACGAACGCUGGCGGCGUGCCUAAUACAUGCAAGUCGAACGCUUCUUUUUCCACCGGAGCUUGCUCCACCGGAAAAAGAGGAGUGGCGAACGGGUGAGUAACACGUGGGUAACCUGCCCAUCAGAAGGGGAUAACACUUGGAAACAGGUGCUAAUACCGUAUAACAAUCAAAACCGCAUGGUUUUGAUUUGAAAGGCGCUUUCGGGUGUCGCUGAUGGAUGGACCCGCGGUGCAUUAGCUAGUUGGUGAGGUAACGGCUCACCAAGGCCACGAUGCAUAGCCGACCUGAGAGGGUGAUCGGCCACAUUGGGACUGAGACACGGCCCAAACUCCUACGGGAGGCAGCAGUAGGGAAUCUUCGGCAAUGGACGAAAGUCUGACCGAGCAACGCCGCGUGAGUGAAGAAGGUUUUCGGAUCGUAAAACUCUGUUGUUAGAGAAGAACAAGGAUGAGAGUAACUGUUCAUCCCUUGACGGUAUCUAACCAGAAAGCCACGGCUAACUACGUGCCAGCAGCCGCGGUAAUACGUAGGUGGCAAGCGUUGUCCGGAUUUAUUGGGCGUAAAGCGAGCGCAGGCGGUUUCUUAAGUCUGAUGUGAAAGCCCCCGGCUCAACCGGGGAGGGUCAUUGGAAACUGGGAGACUUGAGUGCAGAAGAGGAGAGUGGAAUUCCAUGUGUAGCGGUGAAAUGCGUAGAUAUAUGGAGGAACACCAGUGGCGAAGGCGGCUCUCUGGUCUGUAACUGACGCUGAGGCUCGAAAGCGUGGGGAGCAAACAGGAUUAGAUACCCUGGUAGUCCACGCCGUAAACGAUGAGUGCUAAGUGUUGGAGGGUUUCCGCCCUUCAGUGCUGCAGCUAACGCAUUAAGCACUCCGCCUGGGGAGUACGACCGCAAGGUUGAAACUCAAAGGAAUUGACGGGGGCCCGCACAAGCGGUGGAGCAUGUGGUUUAAUUCGAAGCAACGCGAAGAACCUUACCAGGUCUUGACAUCCUUUGACCACUCUAGAGAUAGAGCUUCCCCUUCGGGGGCAAAGUGACAGGUGGUGCAUGGUUGUCGUCAGCUCGUGUCGUGAGAUGUUGGGUUAAGUCCCGCAACGAGCGCAACCCUUAUUGUUAGUUGCCAUCAUUCAGUUGGGCACUCUAGCAAGACUGCCGGUGACAAACCGGAGGAAGGUGGGGAUGACGUCAAAUCAUCAUGCCCCUUAUGACCUGGGCUACACACGUGCU
This 1239-nucleotide ribosomal RNA is filed under the name Enterococcus faecium. RNAcentral describes it as "bacterial SSU rRNA". It matches the Rfam family "Bacterial small subunit ribosomal RNA", at positions 15 to 1226 of the family's 1533-position model. The record is from RNAcentral. Lineage: Bacteria; Bacillati; Bacillota; Bacilli; Lactobacillales; Enterococcaceae.